GACAUGUGAAAUUCAUCAAAUUAACAUGAAGGUAGUAUUUUACAAUUUUUCCAAUCUAUUACAAAGCAGAUAUGUCUAUUAUUACAAUAUAUAAUAUGCAUUCUUGGAUAAGUAGAGCUUCACACAAUUGGCUUCAAGGCUUCGCACUUCAACUUUCUUAGGCCUGGAGGUCCUGUAGAAGAAACAACCAUAUUUGUAAGAGCUACAAGAUACAGAUCAAGAAUAGAAACAAGGCACAAAACAAGGAAUCCAUGGCGGAAACCUUGAAGCGACAAAUGUUUCUGAACUCAGAUGAGAGAAGUUUGAGUCUAGCCAAUUAAACCAACUACCACUGAUGUAACCUAUAAAGAUGGACUGAACAAUAGCAAUACAAAAAAAUGACAGCUAAAUUAUGAAGAGUCCUAAAAUUGACCCCUUUUGCCCUUAAUUAAUUGUGUGAAGCUGAAAUGAUUAAUCUAAAGUAAGAUAUACCAGUAUGUAGGCAAAAAAUGUAGUUGAAUGACCCAUACUUGAAUAACUCAAAAAAGAAGGCAGCAUCAAAUACUAUAGUAAUUAUUAUUGGACAUGAUAUAGUAAGGUACUUUCACUGGUUAAGGUACUCUGCAGCACACGUACGUCGUACCAAAGUAUGCGUCCAGACAGUAAGGAGACACAAUUAGCUAGUCUUGUACGCACAUUUUUCCAUGUUUUCAAGAUAGAAAUGCAAAUGAAUGGAUACUGACUACAUUGUAAUUAAUAAUUGCGUUGGUUGAUCGCAGAACUGGAUCGAUCUGGACGACAUGUAUGCAAUUGCUCAACAGUGGUUAUUAGUUGCAGCGUUGCAGAUCAUCGUUAACUAACUAAUUAGUAAGUGCCGGUUAAGAUGGAUGGAUGGAUGGAUGGAACUGCAAGAGGGUCAUAUGCUAUAGUAGUACUUUGGGCCAGGCGAGAGAAAAAGAUGACCCGUCCAUGCCUUCGAUCCAUCCAUCCAUCCUAAAGCUGCUUGCUUGCUUGCUGCAUCACACGCAGACCAGACCAAAAGGCUGCAUGCAUACGUACUGUGCUAUCAAGCUAGCUACCUCUUGCAAAUGGGUCAGCAAAAUUAAGCUUUUUCCCUUUCAGCUAAGCCAGGCUAGAUCGGCCAUGAGCUUGCAGUAAAUGUUCAAAAGGCUGUAGAGCAAAAUCACUGUUUAGCAACAGGUUUAUAAAGACAUUCUUAAUACGUUGAAGCUUCGAAGCGUAUGUCUCAUAGCAGAGCAAAACCUGUUUAUUUUCAAAUGGGGGCAUGUUGAGUGAAAACCUACCGUCAGUAAAUUCAGCUUUUGCUGCUCCCUUCUCCAGACUGUACUGAAGGGAGCCAAUGGUGAGACUAACGGCAGGAAUCAACAUUAGUCUCCUUGUUUCUACAUCAAGAAAACAAGAACCAAGCAUCAGAUCCUACAGGUAGCAAAAGAAGACAUUAAUCCUACAGUAUCACGGCAACAUUUGACCAUUUGAAGCAAAAGAAAAAUGGGCGCUGAUUGGAGUUGGAAAGCAUAAUAGUACAUACUCUAAGGAAGGUACAAGUAUGAUAAAACAACACUAGUAUUUAUUCAUUUGUCUACAUGAAUAUGAUUCAUUAAUUUAUAACACAACCAUACAUAUAAUAUACGUGAAUAUUUUAUUAGCUACCACAUGUAUUUAUAAUAAUUAUUUUUUAGUAAUAUAUGUUGCCAAUGCUAUGUAUCACUAAUUCAGUCCAACUAAACCGACAAAUGCUACAGGCAGAAGUCCCAUCAGCAUCACAAAUCAGAAGAACAUACCCCCCUAAGUCUGAACAACUAUUCCUCGCUUGCGACUACCCAGAUGAUACAGUGCAACCCAUGCGAUUUAGUAUGAUAACAAAGUGCUGGUUUGACCGCCAACUCAAAACAGCAAUUAAUUUGUACACUAUCUGACACGCAAGUGAAAGACCACUAACAAAUGCUCUAUCUAACAGUACCUCGGUGAUGACACACUCUGGAGCCAAGUUCCUCAAAUGCACAAACAGUAGUGUAUGGAAAUCUGAGUUCAAAUGCUAUAGGAGUAACUAGUUUUUUCAGUGUGUAAAUCAUGUGUUGAACAAAGCAGAAUAAUCAUAAACAAAUAGAACUACUGCAGAUCCCAUUGCAAUGUCUAACAAGUAGAUUAGAAGUAUCUCUGCUACUGUACUAACCUCAAAUGAGAGGCCAACCUAUUGCUUUAAGGUAAGCCAAAUGUGAGCUAGUAGUGAGUGCCAAGUGCCAUCCAGAUUGGAAACUACUGUAACGACAUUCAUCUACAAUGGAAACUGAUACAUUUUGGCAUCAAUAUUUCUUCUUGCCAAAAUAUGACAGCAAGCACUGCCAAGACAUGAUCCCCACAUUUUUCACUCGCAGCAAAAGUGCAAAGCAUGCUAUCACACCAAAUAGACAAAUCAAGAAACACCUCCUAUCAAGUGCAAAGCAUGCUAUCACACCAGAUAGAUUGGGCAACAAAUCACAAGAGAGCGAGCGAGUAGUAAGAUCAUACCCGUUCCUUCCUAUGCAUCGCCUCUCCCGCGUGCAACGAGUUGAACUGCGCAAGAGGAAACCAAGAAACGCUCAGGAACGCACUCCAUUCCAGACGAGUUGGGCGCCUCCCUCGUCUCCGCCACCGCGGGUCCGGCUCCAUUGGAGGGGGCGUAGGAGCGCUCAAGGGCCAGCUCUUGGUCGCGGCCGUCCUCGCCCGGUUCUGCUACUCCUAAACUGUACGGUUCCAUCACGAAUCUGCUAGCAGCAAGUAACAGAAUAGCUCAGUUCAGAUCAUAGCAAGAAACUUAACUCAGUUCAGAUCAUACUUAUCGGAAAACAGUAGCAGAUUGGCUAUCAGAAGAAUUCAGAAGUUUAGUACAAAAUACAUUACUGAAGCUUAACUCAAUUCUUAACAGAGAUAAUAAAGAUGCAUCUCAAGAAACUGCUUAAGCUCGCAUGCCAAGAUUAUGAAACCAUAUGUAGCAGCAGCUAUAAGAACAAAAUCCAACAACGAAUGACUGAAGUUUGAAAGAAUCCUUAUUAUUUAGAACAAGAUUACAAUAACACAUAGCAUCUGAGAACGAAAUGUGGCUUACUGUAACAAGUAGCACGACAAGCUUUCUCAAGAGAUCACAAGCAUAUGACGGCAAAAAGGGCUAGAUUCCAAAAAUAAAUUUCUGAACGCAGGACAAAAUAUUGCACAACAUAAUCUCUAUCAGAAAAAUUUCUACAUGGAGAGGGACUGAGUAAUGCUUAUAGAGGUAGCAACUACCAAGGAACCCCCAACAUUUUUAGCAAUAAUCAAGAAAUCCAGAUGUUCAGUUCAGACUUUAGACAAUCAAGAAAAAUAAAUCAAGCAACAUAAUACAUCAAUCCAGAUGGCUUGGGGCCGGAGUGCCAGUCAAUAAUUAUUGCAUCAGAGAUAAGACCAGCCUCGAGCUCUCACCGCAAUUCUGCAUGUAGAACUGGCAAUCCUGUUCUGAUGAUAAGUUCACUUCAGACUUCGGAUAGUUAAUUUGUCUGAAAGAAUCUCCCUGUUGUCUGCUCUGUUGUUGUAUGCAGGAGAGGAACCGAACCAAUGGAGGGUGACGGACCAGGGUGAGGGGGUAAUAAUUAAUACGUACCCUGGUGGCGACGGGCCAGCGGGGGCGGCCACCGCCCGGGAGAGCGUGGCAGCGCCGACGCGGCGCAACACCGGAGCGGCGGCGGUAGCUGCUGCUGCUGGGAACGCACGAGGGUGGCGGUGGCCACGCGGCGCCGGGGAAGCCAACGCGGAGGAAGCCAUCUGUGCUGGCGGUCUCGUCUCCACAUC
Molecule: long non-coding RNA, 3801 nt
Filed under: Hordeum vulgare
Lineage: Eukaryota; Viridiplantae; Streptophyta; Magnoliopsida; Poales; Poaceae
Description: long non-coding RNA (HVUL_LNC021198)
Source: RNAcentral